Non-coding RNA from Caenorhabditis elegans, 21 nucleotides. The record is from Ensembl. NCBI's taxonomy places the organism in Eukaryota, Metazoa, Nematoda, Chromadorea, Rhabditida, Rhabditidae.
UUUGACAAUUAGUGUUUUGAG